AAUGCACAUGCUGUGAGCUCGAUGAGUAGGGCGGGACACGUGGUAUCCUGUCUGAAUAUGGGGGGACCAUCCUCCAAGGCUAAAUACUCCUGACUGACCGAUAGUGAACCAGUACCGUGAGGGAAAGGCGAAAAGAACCCCGGCGAGGGGAGUGAAAAAGAACCUGAAACCGUGUACGUACAAGCAGUGGGAGCCUCUUUUAUGGGGUGACUGCGUACCUUUUGUAUAAUGGGUCAGCGACUUAUAUUCUGUAGCAAGGUUAACCGAAUAGGGGAGCCGAAGGGAAACCGAGUCUUAACUGGGCGUUAAGUUGCAGGGUAUAGACCCGAAACCCGGUGAUCUAGCCAUGGGCAGGUUGAAGGUUGGGUAACACUAACUGGAGGACCGAACCGACUAAUGUUGAAAAAUUAGCGGAUGACUUGUGGCUGGGGGUGAAAGGCCAAUCAAACCGGGAGAUAGCUGGUUCUCCCCGAAAGCUAUUUAGGUAGCGCCUCGUGAAUUCAUCUCCGGGGGUAGAGCACUGUUUCGGCAAGGGGGUCAUCCCGACUUACCAACCCGAUGCAAACUGCGAAUACCGGAGAAUGUUAUCACGGGAGACACACGGCGGGUGCUAACGUCCGUCGUGAAGAGGGAAACAACCCAGACCGCCAGCUAAGGUCCCAAAGUCAUGGUUAAGUGGGAAACGAUGUGGGAAGGCCCAGACAGCCAGGAUGUUGGCUUAGAAGCAGCCAUCAUUUAAAGAAAGCGUAAUAGCUCACUGGUCGAGUCGGCCUGCGCGGAAGAUGUAACGGGGCUAAACCAUGCACCGAAGCUGCGGCAGCGACGCUUAUGCGUUGUUGGGUAGGGGAGCGUUCUGUAAGCCUGCGAAGGUGUACUGUGAGGUAUGCUGGAGGUAUCAGAAGUGCGAAUGCUGACAUAAGUAACGAUAAAGCGGGUGAAAAGCCCGCUCGCCGGAAGACCAAGGGUUCCUGUCCAACGUUAAUCGGGGCAGGGUGAGUCGACCCCUAAGGCGAGGCCGAAAGGCGUAGUCGAUGGGAAACAGGUUAAUAUUCCUGUACUUGGUGUUACUGCGAAGGGGGGACGGAGAAGGCUAUGUUGGCCGGGCGACGGUUGUCCCGGUUUAAGCGUGUAGGCUGGUUUUCCAGGCAAAUCCGGAAAAUCAAGGCUGAGGCGUGAUGACGAGGCACUACGGUGCUGAAGCAACAAAUGCCCUGCUUCCAGGAAAAGCCUCUAAGCAUCAGGUAACAUCAAAUCGUACCCCAAACCGACACAGGUGGUCAGGUAGAGAAUACCAAGGCGCUUGAGAGAACUCGGGUGAAGGAACUAGGCAAAAUGGUGCCGUAACUUCGGGAGAAGGCACGCUGAUAUGUAGGUGAAGUCCCUCGCGGAUGGAGCUGAAAUCAGUCGAAGAUACCAGCUGGCUGCAACUGUUUAUUAAAAACACAGCACUGUGCAAACACGAAAGUGGACGUAUACGGUGUGACGCCUGCCCGGUGCCGGAAGGUUAAUUGAUGGGGUUAGCGCAAGCGAAGCUCUUGAUCGAAGCCCCGGUAAACGGCGGCCGUAACUAUAACGGUCCUAAGGUAGCGAAAUUCCUUGUCGGGUAAGUUCCGACCUGCACGAAUGGCGUAAUGAUGGCCAGGCUGUCUCCACCCGAGACUCAGUGAAAUUGAACUCGCUGUGAAGAUGCAGUGUACCCGCGGCAAGACGGAAAGACCCCGUGAACCUUUACUAUAGCUUGACACUGAACAUUGAGCCUUGAUGUGUAGGAUAGGUGGGAGGCUUAGAAGUGUGGACGCCAGUCUGCAUGGAGCCGACCUUGAAAUACCACCCUUUAAUGUUUGAUGUUCUAACGUUGACCCGUAAUCCGGGUUGCGGACAGUGUCUGGUGGGUAGUUUGACUGGGGCGGUCUCCUCCUAAAGAGUAACGGAGGAGCACGAAGGUUGGCUAAUCCUGGUCGGACAUCAGGAGGUUAGUGCAAUGGCAUAAGCCAGCUUGACUGCGAGCGUGACGGCGCGAGCAGGUGCGAAAGCAGGUCAUAGUGAUCCGGUGGUUCUGAAUGGAAGGGCCAUCGCUCAACGGAUAAAAGGUACUCCGGGGAUAACAGGCUGAUACCGCCCAAGAGUUCAUAUCGACGGCGGUGUUUGGCACCUCGAUGUCGGCUCAUCACAUCCUGGGGCUGAAGUAGGUCCCAAGGGUAUGGCUGUUCGCCAUUUAAAGUGGUACGCGAGCUGGGUUUAGAACGUCGUGAGACAGUUCGGUCCCUAUCUGCCGUGGGCGCUGGAGAACUGAGGGGGGCUGCUCCUAGUACGAGAGGACCGGAGUGGACGCAUCACUGGUGUUCGGGUUGUCAUGCCAAUGGCACUGCCCGGUAGCUAAAUGCGGAAGAGAUAAGUGCUGAAAGCAUCUAAGCACGAAACUUGCCCCGAGAUGAGUUCUCCCUGACUCCUUGAGAGUCCUGAAGGAACGUUGAAGACGACGACGUUGAUAGGCCGGGUGUGUAAGCGCAGCGAUGCGUUGAGCUAACCGGUACUAAUGAACCGUGAG
Molecule: ribosomal RNA, 2548 nt
Filed under: Escherichia coli
Lineage: Bacteria; Pseudomonadati; Pseudomonadota; Gammaproteobacteria; Enterobacterales; Enterobacteriaceae
Description: partial 23S ribosomal RNA
Rfam family: Bacterial large subunit ribosomal RNA
Source: RNAcentral